This 554-nucleotide transfer RNA is filed under the name Sphingomonas sp. SLAU-5. Its description in RNAcentral is "partial 16S-23S ribosomal RNA intergenic spacer". The stretch from base 154 to 226 matches the Rfam family "tRNA". The record is from RNAcentral. Lineage: Bacteria; Pseudomonadati; Pseudomonadota; Alphaproteobacteria; Sphingomonadales; Sphingomonadaceae.
UCGACAGGUGGGCACGUGAGCUCCAGUAGCUCAGAUCGUACGAGCGAUCACCUUAAGAUCGUAAGGUCGGAUGUUCGUCUGCUCCUCCGUCUCGACAUAUCGUCGCAUUGUACAGACCUUUAGACAGUUCAGAUCUUCAGGCGAUCAUGGUUGGGGGCCUUAGCUCAGCUGGGAGAGCACCUGCUUUGCAAGCAGGGGGUCAUCGGUUCGAUCCCGAUAGGCUCCACCAUUUCGACACUCCAGAGAUGAAGACAACAUAUUCCGCGAGGGCCUUUGGGCUCUGGUGGUUGCGCAGACCGAAGCUGGUCUGUUCUUUGACAUUGUGAAUGGGUUUUUUAAUCGAUGCCGUGGUUGCAUCGUGGCGGUUCCGCAAGGGAUCGUUCGCGUUGCCAAUCACACAUUCAUUUCAAAAUGAAUAUCUGGCUGAGAAUAAUCAUCCACACCGAAAUAGCCGUGGCAGCAUGCCGAGAGGCUGGGGUGAGGGUUGGUGCAGACACAAGACUGUGCCGAUCGUGCAUCCUGCCAGUGCUGACAUGUGGUUGACUGCAGGUUAG